CCUGUUUAAAAGCAUUCAAUGGGUCUUCUUGCUAAUGACCCAUUGAGUCCUCAAGAAACAGCAGAGCGAAAAUACCACUUUUGGGUGCAAUGGCAGCAGGCUAUGUCAUUUUGCUUCAAUUAAUGGGCUGAUGAGG
Molecule: small nucleolar RNA, 136 nt
Filed under: Sciurus vulgaris (Eurasian red squirrel)
Lineage: Eukaryota; Metazoa; Chordata; Mammalia; Rodentia; Sciuridae
Source: RNAcentral